GUCUACGGACAUGCCACCCUGAACAAGCCUGAUCCCGUCUGAUCUUGGAAGCUAAGCAGGGUCAGGCCUGGUUAGUACUUGGAUGGGAGACCGCCUAUGAAGACCAGUUGCUGGAGGCG
Molecule: ribosomal RNA, 119 nt
Filed under: Pteropus alecto (black flying fox)
Lineage: Eukaryota; Metazoa; Chordata; Mammalia; Chiroptera; Pteropodidae
Source: RNAcentral